Gymnodraco acuticeps is the source of this 818-nucleotide long non-coding RNA. RefSeq lists it as uncharacterized. The transcript is spliced from 2 exons. NCBI's taxonomy places the organism in Eukaryota, Metazoa, Chordata, Actinopteri, Perciformes, Bathydraconidae. The record is from RefSeq and is a predicted model, not a curated record.
GAAACUCAUGUCAAGAAGAAUCAAAACCUAACAGAGCUAAAACGGUCCCAAAGUCACCUGUCAUCUGUCACUCAACAACAAAAAGACACAUUUGCACAUGGAAACCUUUUGUUCUAUUUUUGGUGGAAAGCAGUCUCAGCAAUUGAACACGUCAUACGCACAUCUUUUCUUCUCCUGCAUAGCUCAGGAUCUAAUUCUGGUGAAGGCCAACAGCUCUUGAUGACGGGUACUUUCUUGUAAACUGGAGCCAUUGAAUCACAUGGGAUGGCUUCAAGACGAAGAGGAGGCGGAGGUAAUGAAGAGGAGACAACAAAUGAGAGGAACUUUGCCUCGGGUGUAUUUGGACCGUGAGAUUUGUUCCUCUAAUUGCUCCUGAGUUUCCAGAGUCACCAUAUGUUCAGCGGUGUCAGGCUUUGGUAAAGAACACGUGGGGAGAAUGAAAGAUGGAUGGUGUUGAACUGAAGACCACAGGGGACGUCUGUUUGACACACCAAUACAUCUUUUAGUUUUUCCCACCGCCAGGCACACCCGAGGCUGCAUCAAAUAAAAAACAUGCCUGAUAGGUAGAGGGACUGUCCUCCAACCGAGUGACCUGAUGGGACUCUCUGACCCUGCUGUCUGACGUCUGAGGGGAGGGGGCACAGUUUCCCCUAAAGCAGGGGUGUCCAAACUACGGCCCGGGUGCUAAAUGCGGCCCGCGGGACAUUUUGAAUUGGCCCUCAUCAAAUUCAAAAAGUAUAAUGGAAUAGGCCGACGGCCCACAAAUGAAACUUAAGCUUUUCUUGUAUUGUACUUAUUAAACAUCCUCCUGAGACCCA